Molecule: microRNA precursor, 101 nt
Filed under: Lytechinus variegatus (green sea urchin)
Lineage: Eukaryota; Metazoa; Echinodermata; Echinoidea; Temnopleuroida; Toxopneustidae
Description: microRNA lva-mir-153 precursor
Gene: lva-mir-153
Rfam family: mir-153 microRNA precursor family (bases 7-86)
Source: miRBase by way of RNAcentral
CCCACCAGCCCGCUCAUUUUUGUGUUUAUGCAACUUUUGUCUCUUGCCGAUCAGUGUAGUUGCAUAGUCACAAAAGUGAUUGGGAGGGUUCGGGCACUAAC